CAGAGGGGGCAAGCGUUAUUCGGAAUUAUUGGGCGUAAAGGGCGCGUAGGCGGCUUUGCAAGUGACGGGUGAAAUCCCUCGGCUUAACCGAGGAACUGCCUGACAGACUGCAUGGCUUGAGACCAGGAGAGGUGAGUGGAAUUCCCAGUGUAGCGGUGAAAUGCGUAGAUAUUGGGAGGAACACCAGUGGCGAAGGCGGCUCACUGGACUGGUACUGACGCUGAGGCGCGAAAGCGUGGGGAGCAAACAGGAUUAGAUACCCUGGUAGUCCACGCCGUAAACGAUGAGUGCUUGGUGUAGCGGGUAUCGACCCCUGCUGUGCCGAAGUCAACACAUUAAGCACUCCGCCUGGGGAGUACGGUCGCAAGACUG
This 372-nucleotide ribosomal RNA is filed under the name uncultured organism. Its description in RNAcentral is "bacterial SSU rRNA". It matches the Rfam family "Bacterial small subunit ribosomal RNA", at positions 526 to 896 of the family's 1533-position model. The record is from RNAcentral.